RNAcentral lists this non-coding RNA (30 nucleotides) under Mus musculus (house mouse). The record is from RNAcentral. Lineage: Eukaryota; Metazoa; Chordata; Mammalia; Rodentia; Muridae.
UGGAAUCACAGGCACAAGUAGGAAGUUCUA